This 440-nucleotide ribosomal RNA is filed under the name uncultured bacterium. Its description in RNAcentral is "partial 16S ribosomal RNA". It matches the Rfam family "Bacterial small subunit ribosomal RNA", at positions 338 to 795 of the family's 1533-position model. The record is from RNAcentral.
CCUACGGUGGUCUGCAGUGGGGCAUAUUUCACAAUGGGGGAAACCCUGAUGCAGCGACGCCGCGUGAGUGAAGAAGUCUUUCGGUAUGUAAAGCUCUAUCAGCAGGGAAGAAAAUGACGGUACCUGACUAAGAAGCACCGGCUAACUACGUGCCAGCAGCCGCGGUAAUACGUAGGGGGCAAGCGUUAUCCGGAUUUACUGGGUGGAAAGUGCGCGUAGACGGCAGAGCAAGUCUGAAGUGAAAUCCCGCGGCCCAACUGCGGGACUGCUUUGGAAACUGCCCGGCUAGAGUGCUGGAGAGGUAAGCGGAAUUCCUAGUGUAGCGGUGAAAUGCGUAGAUAUUAGGAGGAACACCAGUGGCGAAGGCGGCUUACUGGACAGUAACUGACGUUGAGGCUCGAAAGCGUGGGGAGCAAACAGGAUUAGAUACCCGUGUAGUC